UAACAGUUAAUUAGAUUAUUAUUAAUUACAGAAUUAAAGUGAACAGUUGAUAAUUAUGUUGUCUCACUCGAAAAUGAGUCAAUGGAUUUUAUUAAUUGUCGUUUGUACUUCAUUAUUAUCCGUAAUUGUUGUUUAUGGAAUGAAAAAAAAUUCAACUUCAAAUGAUGAACAGAAUGAUAAUAAACCCGCUCCGGGAUGUGGCCCUGAGUGGGGGUGUUAUGAAGGCCAUUGUUGGAGCGAUUGUGUCGGGUUUGACCUUAAGGUGAUCAGAGAAUGGUGUUAUACUACUAAGGCCAAGCACGGCGAUCGUAAGUUUGUCCAUGUAAAUCUAAAGCCGAUUGUGACCCGUGUUGGAAAUGCGCUGAUACUUGUUCCGUGUUCCCAAAAGGCCCGAAGCAUAAAAGAGAGACUUGAACUUUUUUUCGAGUUUCGAAUUCAUCAUUGGAUAAUUUUUCGAUUCUGGAAUAAGAUCCAAAUGAACUGAAUUAAUUAUCAGAUCAAUUGAUUGUCAGUGAUUAACAAAAUUCAACAGAUUUUUUUCCCUGUACAAUUUUAAUUAAUUGAAUUAACUAAUUAUUAUAUGAGAAAAUGAUUCGCUUUAAUCAAAACUUUCCCUUUUCCUUUUGACCUGAGAUUUAAUUGUAAUGAUUAACAACAGAAAUUUAUGAAACAAUUAGAUUUAAUUGUGUGUGGUAACCUUGAUUAAGAAAAUAGGUGAUAAUUAAUUAAUUAUCCAGUAAUUAAUUGCUCUGUGAUUUGGUAAAAUGAUAUCAAUCAACAUCCGUAAUCAUUUUUAAUUUGCCAGACUAAUUUUAAUUGCUUUGAAAAUUAAGGUUAAUUGUUGAAUGAUUGAUUUCAAUUGAAGGUCAUCAUAAGUGAUAGUUUUAAUUUUAAACUGUCACAAUUAAAUAAAAUGACAAUAAUUAAGAUUAAAGUUUUGUUUUAUUAAUUUAACAGAAUCAUCAAAAUGAUCAGUUAACAAUUAACAAUUUUUUCAUUGAUUUAGUUUAAUAAAAAGCAAAAGGGUUCGGCAAUUAAUUAAUUGACCUUUCACAUCCUUGAUUGUUGUCAAAUUGAUUGCUAUCAAAUAGUAGCAAUUAAAUGUUUCUUGAUAUAAUUAUUGUUAUUAUCUAUUAUGCUUGAGGUUAUACAAAACAAAAAAUUAGUGUAACAAUUAACUAAUUGUGAAAAUGGUUCUCAAUACUUUUACUUUUGAUAUGUUUUCAGUUUUUUUUGAACAAUUUAAAGUUUAACAAUUAACUAAAUACACAACAAGUUAAUUCACUUUUUCUGACGUUUAAAAUACACUAAUUGUUAAAAAUAGUGAUUAAAUUUUCACAAUUUAAAAUGAGCAAUUAGUUAAAAAAAACGAAACUGUUAAAAGGAUUGGUUUUAGUUACACCUAAUAAUCAACAACCAUGCAAACAAUUUACUAAUUGUAAGUAUUAAGAAUAUGAUUAAAAUAUCAAAUCAUCACAAUUUUCAUGAUUAACUUUCAGAUUGGAUUGAUUUCUGAAUACAUAUUAAUUGUUUACUCAGUGUUGUUGGUUGAUUUGUCAAUUUGUUGUUCACUUAAUUAACUUACAAUCAACUAAUAGAUUGAAAUUUCAAAUUGUUAAAAAUAAAAGUUGAUUGUUAUAAAUUGUUUUUCAUUAGAAAGAGAGUUGAUAUAAAUAAUUAAAUUUCCCUCUUUAUCCUUAAUUGUUUGUGAUGAAAAAAAAAAGAUUCACAUAAAUUAGAUGAUCUAUUAUUAUGAUUGUUGUUGUUGUUGUUGAUUUGAUUUAGUUGAUUGUUGUUGGUUAAUUCAAUGUUAACACGAUAAUUUGAUUCUGAUAAGUCUGGGUCAUUUUGUUAUUGAUUGUUUGAUAUGUAUUAAUAUCAACGUGAUGAUUAAGAUGAAAAUUAAAUAGUUGACUGAUCUAGAAAACAGUUAUUAUACUUAAUACUUUCAAUAAAUUAAUCACAAUCAAUUUGAUGGAAAUCUAAUCAAACUGUAAUCAUGAUGAUCUGUCAAUGAUUUAUUAUUGGCAGUUGAUCAUUUGAAAGACACAAAGGUAACUAUCAACAGUUAAUUACGAGAUUAAAGAAUUAAAUGAAAUGAACAAUUUUUCUAAAUUCUCAACUAUAAUCAAUCAGAUUGAAGAAUAUCAAAAAAAAGAGAGUAAAUAGAAAACCAAUUAAAUGUUAAUUAAAUAGAGAAAAUUUAAUUAAUAGAAAUCAAAUUAUUCACUUGACCUCAUUUCUUUUCGUUGUCACCAGUUGGUGUUAGUUGUUAAUUGAUUUUCUCUCAAUGGUUUUGAAUUUGUUGUUUAUUAAUCUUCAUCAUCUUGUUGAUUAUUGUUAAUUGUUUGAAAAUUACCUCACGAAAUGUUACUUAAAUUGAUCUUCAGGUGAAUUUAAUGAGACGAAGUAUAAAUUUAACAAUAAACUUGGACUUGACAUUAGACUUGUGUGUGUGUGUUACACUAAAUGGAUCAUCAUCAUCAUGAAAUGUAAUCAACAUCAAUAGUUAAAAUUUUAAGUAAACAAGAUUUUGAUUGUAACGUUUCAAGUUAAACACUCAAAGGGUUAUGAACAUUGUCUUCUUCUGGUUCCCAUCACUUGGCUAACGUAUUUAAAUUGAUGAUUUACAAUUAAUUUGAUCAUUUACAACAACAAUUACUACUUGAUAAUUUAAUAUUUAUACAACAAAAAUGAAUUAUCUGCUAAUUCAAAGUUAAUUUAGAUUGUGUGUAAUUAUAUUGAAUUAUUUGUUUGCUGUUUACCAUUCAAAUCAUUCAUAAAGGAUUGUAAUACUUUGGUUAUCGAUGAUUAAUGGAGUGAUGAUUGUGAUGAAAAUUGAACAAUAAACUACAACAAUCAAGUAAACAAUCAAGGAUGGAAUCAGUGAGAGGAAAUUCAGACCAAACAAGAUGAAGGCGAAAGAAAAAAAAAACUAAAUCAACAUAACGAUUGGAUAACAAUUUAUAAAUAGUCCAAUCACCAACUCUUAUAUUUAAUACAAACACUUAGGUUUACCUGGAUUUUUGUUCAUCAAUUCAGACAAUCAACGUUUUCCAAACAAAUCAACUAUUCCUUUAAUCAUCUCAUUAUUAUUAGAUUAACAUUUAUAACCAUUUCUCGCAAUCAUUUACAAUUUAUGGUCAAUUUUGUUUUUCUUGCAAUUAGUUAAUAAUGAGAAGUUAAAUUAGCUUGUUUGAUCUCAAUUGGAAAUUGGAUCAAACAAUUGUAAAUGUAUCGAUAUCAAUACUAAAUACUGAAAGUUAAUCUACAAUUUUUGGGCAUUUGAUUAAUUCUGAUGAUGACAUUAAAUUUAACGAUAAUGAUAAUGGUGAUGAUGAUGAUUGUGGCGUUGAUGAUACUUCCAAUUGCGAUUUGGAAAAUUAAGAUAAUCAAAUCUCUACAAUUACUUAAUAAGAGAUCGUAGAUGAACUUAAUUCAGUUCAAAAUCUGCAGUUAACUGAGUUGUUGUUUCCUUCAUCUCUGCAAGUGACCAUCAUUACGAUUUUAAAUUGCUUUAAUUUAGAUCAGCCUUUUGCAAGUGAAUUAAAAUCAACAGGUAAGUAAAUCCAUUUUGAAAGAUUGACUGAGCACAAUAAUGAUGAUUAACUUGAUGAGAUAAUAGAUGAUAAUUGAAUGAUAUUUGAACAUAACAGUUAAUAGACCAUUAGUUAAAUUGUAGAUUUCCGGGCAAUGAGAAUUAAAUUGGACAACUGAGUAUCUGAAAUAAGACAAAAAUAAUACGAUAGGAAUCUUUUUGCCUCAAGCCUGAAAUUGUCUCUCUCAUAAAGUUCUGGUCAGUUAGAUCAGAAUGAGAUGAAUGGAUGAUGAUAAUCAAUGGAAAACUCAAAGAUAUGAAAAAACAAAACAAAAGGUAAACAAAAAUGGACUAAUUGUUUCAUAUCAUCUUCCUUAUUGACACACGAUUUAAUUGACAGCCGAUGGUCCAACCAAUCAAAUGAAUAUCGAUGGUUCGAGAAUUGUUUUUCGAUGAUAAAAUGAAAAUUUUCGUUGAAACGAUUGGAAAUCGGGAAAUGGAAAGACAAUUGAUUUAACUCUCAUUCCAUAUUAACCAAAUCAAUAAUUUCUGGUAAACAAUUAGUAGGGAAUUUUAUAAUUUAUGCUAAUUUGUUUUCAUUUAGUAACAACAUGCUACUUACAUUUAGAUGUAUUUAUAAUUAUAAUACAUAAUUUAUUGUAAUUUAUUAAUUCUUGUUACUUUUUUAAAAUAGAAUAAGAAAUUAAUAGUAACAAUUAAUUUGUUUGAAUUGCGAAAAUUGAUCAACAGUUUGUUGGUGCAUCUAAUCAUCAUCAUCAUCAUCAUUAUUUGAAUAUUGUUAUUGAUUAACUAUUAAAGUUACACCUUCUUUU
Long non-coding RNA from Panonychus citri (citrus red mite), 4371 nucleotides. RefSeq lists it as uncharacterized. NCBI's taxonomy places the organism in Eukaryota, Metazoa, Arthropoda, Arachnida, Trombidiformes, Tetranychidae. The record is from RefSeq and is a predicted model, not a curated record. The transcript has 8 exons.